CGGCAGGCCUCGGAGACUUCCUCUAUUUAUCCACAGAACAGAUAUAACAUGGGUAGUAAAAAUGCAAGCUUCCACAAACUGCCCCAACGUGUCUGAACCCCGAUCUGUACUGCUUGUGGAAAUAUUCAAAGGAUUAGCAGUUAUUUUAGUUUCCAUGGCUCUUCAAUUGGCCUUU
Molecule: small RNA, 175 nt
Filed under: Crocodylus porosus (Australian saltwater crocodile)
Lineage: Eukaryota; Metazoa; Chordata; Crocodylia; Crocodylidae
Description: TUC338 (ENSCPRG00005005165.1)
Source: RNAcentral